Molecule: long non-coding RNA, 973 nt
Filed under: Gallus gallus (chicken)
Lineage: Eukaryota; Metazoa; Chordata; Aves; Galliformes; Phasianidae
Description: lncRNA (ENSGALG00010015077.1)
Source: RNAcentral
CUCCAAUGGGCCUGCCUACCAGAUAAGCUACAAGAUGAAAGUGAGUUGCACAAGAUUCUGUUGCCCAGAGCACGCAGUUCAGUCUCUGUUACUCCUCUGUUCAACCAGAUGCUAUACAAGAAACGACAUUCUCUCUCUUUCAAAAAGGAGUUAAUCGAGGGGAGAUACGCAGGGAUGUUGAAGUCGGUGGAGUUGACAAGCCUCUCUCCAGGUCACAUAGGAAUCAGUGAUAGAGAUGUAUCUGGAAGUGGGCAUGAAUCCCGAACUGUCAGUCUCUGCUUCCCUAUGGCUGCUGCUUAUCUCACAGUCACCUUUGUCUUUGAAAGCCUUCUUGACCCAGGAGGAAAUUUAAUGAAUCAGCAGCGAAUGCCUGCUGGCUGAGAGCAGAAGGUUUAUGAUGGAGUAGACUUGUAAUCGAGACCUAAGUGUUAGAAUGACUAAGAGUGAAUGGCUGAUGGGACACACGCUCUCCUUGAAAGCUUCUGCGUGCUGGAGGCAGGACCACCAGUCAUACAGCAUAUGGUGAACAGUAUUGCUGAAACAAACCUACUUUUCUCUUCAUAAAAGAUAUACAAUAGUGAAAGGAUAUUUUUACAACUGUUUGCGUGUAUGUUUUGUUGGUGGGUGGUUGGUUGGGUUUUUUUUUGACUGAAGUUAUUUAGGGACACAUAGAAGUUCCAUUGCUUUCAGUCAGAUAGCAGGUGUGUGACUGCUCUUGAACAGUUGCAUCAGCUUUGUGACAAUCAGGAUCUGUAUUUUCAACGUGUGCACUGAAAGUUUUGCUCCCCUUCAGACAGAAGGGUUUAGAUGUUUUUGAUGCUAAAAUUAGAAUGCUGAAAGGUUUUAGGAACACCCGUGCCUUUGAUUUGAUUAGCUGAGCUCUGAUCCUCAUUGAGGUUCGGUACGGGAAACCUCUAAGUGAUUUGGAUAGCUUCGUAUGUUUAUAUGUUUUUCUACCUUGUGUUGCUGAUAU